AGUGAACGCUGGCGGUAGGCCUAACACAUGCAAGUCGAACGGCAGCACAGUAAGAGCUUGCUCUUACGGGUGGCGAGUGGCGGACGAGUGAGGAAUACAUCGGAAUCUACUUUUUCGUGGGGGAUAACGUAGGGAAACUUACGCUAAUACCGCAUACGACCUACGGGUGAAAGCAGGGGGUCUUCGGACCUUGCGCGAUUGAAUGAGCCGAUGUCGGAUUAGCUAGUUGGCGGGGUAAAGGCCCACCAAGGCGACGAUCCGUAGCUGGUCUGAGAGGAUGAUCAGCCACACUGGAACUGAGACACGGUCCAGACUCCUACGGGAGGCAGCAGUGGGGAAUAUUGGACAAUGGGCGCAAGCCUGAUCCAGCCAUACCGCGUGGGUGAAGAAGGCCUUCGGGUUGUAAAGCCCUUUUGUUGGGAAAGAAAAGCAGCAGGUUAAUACCCCGCUGUUCUGACGGUACCCAAAGAAUAAGCACCGGCUAACUUCGUG
Molecule: ribosomal RNA, 492 nt
Filed under: uncultured bacterium
Lineage: Bacteria
Description: partial 16S ribosomal RNA
Rfam family: Bacterial small subunit ribosomal RNA
Source: RNAcentral